This is a long non-coding RNA of Drosophila innubila, 818 nucleotides long. RefSeq lists it as uncharacterized. The record is from RefSeq and is a predicted model, not a curated record. The transcript has 2 exons. Lineage: Eukaryota; Metazoa; Arthropoda; Insecta; Diptera; Drosophilidae.
UUAUUAUGUGUAAAUUUGUAGAAAGCUAUUCCAAUUCUAUUUAUUAAAUCCUUGUUUGCGCUAUCCAAUCUUGAAAAAAAAGGAAGUGGACUUGCAAUUUUUUAACGCAUUUGAAAUGUCGGACGGUGAUAAAGCAAUAAAUGUAGUUUCGUGCUACACCAGCCGAAGACUUUGGUCGCGCCAAUCGGUUUUAUUCUGGAUCAAUCAAUGCCUAAAGAGCAAUAUUACUAAGGUUGAUCAUCUAUGCACUGGCGCCGCCUAUUGUUGUCUUAUGGAUAUAUUAUUUCCCGAUUCUGUUAAUUUGCGACGAGUCAAGUUUAUAACCAAUCAAGAGAAAGAUUUCGUAAAUAAUUUUCAAAUUUUGCAGCAAGGCUUCAAAAAACAUAACGUCGAUAAACUUAUACCGAUUGAAAAACUCGUAAAAGGCAAAUUUCAAGAUAACUAUGAUUUUAUCAUAUGGUUUCGUCUGUUUUAUAAUGCCAACUUUAGAAAAAUCCCAGAGGGCUAUGAUGUGGAACAAAAGCGAUUUAAUCAACCCUUUAUCGUUGGUACAGUUCCAAAAUUAAAACGAAGUCGCACAGCCGCAACUAUUAAGAAUCAAAGGUUGCCAAGAAUGCGAAGCGCUACACAACAGACAUUGUCCAGAGUUCCAGCUUCAAAUCGUGGCGGGUAAAAUAAAAACAAUGAAAAGCCUUGCUCGGAAAUAUCAACAUUCAAGUAUUAACAAUAUCAAAUUAUAAAUGGAUUCGCCAAUUAUAGACAAAUUGAUGCAGAUGAUGCAUGCAAUAUGAAAUUAAAUUUGCAAUAAAAACAACUAA